Molecule: long non-coding RNA, 180 nt
Organism: Alosa sapidissima (American shad)
Lineage: Eukaryota; Metazoa; Chordata; Actinopteri; Clupeiformes; Clupeidae
Exons: 3
Source: RefSeq, a predicted model, not a curated record
AUACCUUCAUGGAACUUCUGGAGUUCCCCACCAAUGAAGGCUUUCUCUGCCCCAUCUGUGGGAUAGAGCCCAAGCAGGUUGUCUUGGAUGGGACCACUCUUGGUUACCACCAGAGGUACAUUGAUCGCAUCCUGCUCCCUGAAAAAAAAUUACGGGAUUGGAUGGGGAGAUAUGUAAAGG